Molecule: ribosomal RNA, 468 nt
Filed under: uncultured bacterium
Lineage: Bacteria
Description: partial 16S ribosomal RNA
Rfam family: Bacterial small subunit ribosomal RNA
Source: RNAcentral
GAAGAAGGCGGGGGGCGUGCUUAACUCAUGCAAGUCGAACGGAAAGGCCCUGCUUUUGUGGGGUGCUCGAGUGGCGAACGGGUGAGUAACACGUGAGUAACCUGCCCUUGACUUUGGGAUAACUUCAGGAAACUGGGGCUAAUACCGGAUAGGAGCUCCUGCUGCAUGGUGGGGGUUGGAAAGUUUCGGCGGUUGGGGAUGGACUCGCGGCUUAUCAGCUUGUUGGUGGGGUAGUGGCUUACCAAGGCUUUGACGGGUAGCCGGCCUGAGAGGGUGACCGGCCACAUUGGGACUGAGAUACGGCCCAGACUCCUACGGGAGGCAGCAGUGGGGAAUAUUGCACAAUGGGCGGAAGCCUGAUGCAGCAACGCCGCGUGCGGGAUGACGGCCUUCGGGUUGUAAACCGCUUUCGCCUGUGACGAAGCGUGAGUGACGGUAAUGGGUAAAGAAGCACCGGCUAACUACGUG